Molecule: long non-coding RNA, 817 nt
Filed under: Apteryx owenii (little spotted kiwi)
Lineage: Eukaryota; Metazoa; Chordata; Aves; Apterygiformes; Apterygidae
Description: lncRNA (ENSAOWG00000010548.1)
Source: RNAcentral
GUUUUCACAUGAUCCAGGUAAUGAACGGCUGACUGGUUUCUCCUUGUCUCUGCUGUACAUUUCCCACGGCGCUCUCUUCCCUUCCCUCAUCAAGUUGUCUCGUGUCCAGCCAAGCUUUUCAUCCAUCAUAUGCCCCUGCUUCAGCUCAGUAACUCUCUUGGUUGCUUUUCUCAUCUGAGUCAAGUUCUCUUGCUUUAUUUUACGAUUUUAUCUUUACCAAAAUGGUUGGCAGUUGUCUGUUAAUUCUCAGAUUCUGGAGAGUGCUGUCGCCAAAGAGAAGGACAAGUUCAAGCAAUCUGUGGAUGAAGAAAAGAAAAAGAUCCAAGACUUGGAAAAUCACCUGAGAAGUAUGACUGAGGUAAUUGAAAUGAAGUCAAAAGAGCAGGAGGUUGUAAAUGUCAAACUACGAGAAGCUACGGACAACCUAGAGGAAACUGGGAAGCGAGAGAUCAUGUUAAAGCAGCAGUUACUCAUGCAAGACGAACAGCUAAAGAUCACUCAGGAUGAGAACGAGUUACUGAAGCAGAAAAUUCAGAAAGAAAUAGUGGAAUAUAAGGAACAAAUUAAGCAACAUUCCCAGACAAUUGUUGCACUAGAAGACAGAUUGCUGAAGGCCAAGCAGGAGCAGAAGACUUUAGAAGAGGAAAAUGCAGCGCUCUUGGAAAAAAUAGAAGGAUUUCAGGGUGAUCCCUGCAGAUCCUCAUCAGGUGCUUCACUAGCGGUUUCUCAUACAGAGGAGUCUCCCGGUUGUCUUAUAGAAUUAGCAGCUGCACAGAACACAAUCCUGUCCAAAGAGGCUGUCAUUGUUGGAUUAACA